This 468-nucleotide ribosomal RNA is filed under the name uncultured bacterium. Its description in RNAcentral is "partial 16S ribosomal RNA". It matches the Rfam family "Bacterial small subunit ribosomal RNA", at positions 28 to 507 of the family's 1533-position model. The record is from RNAcentral.
GACGAACGCUGGCGGCGUGCUUAACACAUGCAAGUCGAACGGAAAGGCCCUGCUUUUGUGGGGUGCUCGAGUGGCGAACGGGUGAGUAACACGUGAGUAACCUGCCCUUGACUUUGGGAUAACUUCAGGAAACUGGGGCUAAUACCGGAUAGGAGCUCCUGCUGCAUGGUGGGGGUUGGAAAGUUUCGGCGGUUGGGGAUGGACUCGCGGCUUAUCAGCUUGUUGGUGGGGUAGUGGCUUACCAAGGCUUUGACGGGUAGCCGGCAUGAGAGGGUGACCGGCCACAUUGGGACUGAGAUACGGACCAGACUGCAACGGGAGGCAGCAGUGGGGAAUAUUGCACAAUGAGCGGAAGCGUGAUGCAGCAACGCCGCGUGCGGGAUGACGGCCUUCGGGUUGUAAACCGCUUUCGCCUGUGACGAAGCGUGAGUGACGGUAAUGGGUAAAGAAGCACCGGCUAACUACGUG